RNAcentral lists this ribosomal RNA (496 nucleotides) under uncultured bacterium. Its description in RNAcentral is "partial 16S ribosomal RNA". It matches the Rfam family "Bacterial small subunit ribosomal RNA", at positions 28 to 506 of the family's 1533-position model. The record is from RNAcentral.
GAUGAACGCUGGCGGCGUGCCUAAUACAUGCAAGUCGAGCGAACGGACGAGAAGCUUGCUUUUCUGAUGUUAGCGGCGGACGGGUGAGUAACACGUGGAUAACCUACCUAUAAGACUGGGAUAACUUCGGGAAACCGGAGCUAAUACCGGAUAAUAUUUUGAACCGCAUGGUUCAAAAGUGAAAGACGGUCUUGCUGUCACUUAUAGAUGGAUCCGCGCUGCAUUAGCUAGUUGGUAAGGUAACGGCUUACCAAGGCAACGAUGCAUAGCCGACCUGAGAGGGGGAUCGGCCACCCUGGAACUGAAACACGGCCCAGACUCAUACGGGAGGCAGCAGUAGGGAAUCUUCGGCAAUGGGGGAAAGCAUGAGGGAGAAACGCCGGGGGGGUGAUGAAGGUUUGGGGAACGUAAAACUUUGUUAUGAGGGAAAAAAAAAUGGGAAAGAAACUGGGAACAUCUGGAGGGUACCUAAUCAGAAAGCCACGGCUAAUUACGG